AUCCUGGCUCAGGAUGAACGCUAGCGGCAGGCUUAACACAUGCAAGUCGAGGGGCAUCGGGAGUAGCAAUACUGCCGGCGACCGGCGCAAGGGUGCGUAACGCGUGAGCAACAUGCCCGUAUCAGGGGGGAUAAUCCAUGGAAACGUGGUCUAAUACCCCAUAGUAAUUAUGUAAGGCAUCUUAUAUAAUUUAAAGCUUUGGUGGAUACGGAUUGGCUCGCGUGACAUUAGCUGGAUGGUAAGGUAACGGCUUACCAUGGCUACGAUGUCUAGGGGUUCUGAGAGGAAGGUCCCCCACACUGGAACUGAGACACGGUCCAGACUCCUACGGGAGGCAGCAGUGAGGAAUAUUGGACAAUGGAUGGAAAUCUGAUCCAGCCAUGCCGCGUGCAAGGAAGACGGCCCUAUGGGUUGUAAACUGCUUUUGUAUGGGAGCAAUAAGGGCUACGUGUAGUCCGAUGAGAGUACCAUACGAAUAAGCACCGGCUAACUCCGUGCCAGCAGCCGC
Molecule: ribosomal RNA, 508 nt
Filed under: uncultured bacterium
Lineage: Bacteria
Description: bacterial SSU rRNA
Rfam family: Bacterial small subunit ribosomal RNA
Source: RNAcentral